This is a long non-coding RNA of Alexandromys fortis (reed vole), 4176 nucleotides long. RefSeq lists it as uncharacterized. The transcript is spliced from 3 exons. Lineage: Eukaryota; Metazoa; Chordata; Mammalia; Rodentia; Cricetidae. The record is from RefSeq and is a predicted model, not a curated record.
AGCAGCAGCAGCAGCAGCAGCAGCAGCAGCAGCGGCGCUCAGCUCUUGGGAGGCAGAGACAGUGAAAUCCCAGCUGUAGCAACGUGGAACUGAGACUUCAGGGCUAAAGUUGGUUGAGGAGAAAUUCUUGGAAACUGAAGAACAUCUGAACUGGGGACUUCAUGAUGCUCCUGAAUGUAGAGAGAAUGCCUGGAAGCCUGUACCUGGAAUAUCAGUCUUGAGGACUAGGAGAGAGAUGGUCUGCUACAGUGGUCACUAAUUCUCACUGUAGACAGUGGACCUUGAACGGCUUUGAUGUGCCAACCAAUCGAUCAAGGCUCAGUUCUUCUACCUGACUUCUUUAUCAACACCUGUAGUCUGAGAUACCUCUACUGCAAAUAACCGCAGGGCUGAGUAUCAGGGAACAACGACCCACCCUGUAGUCCAGAGCCCACCAAAUUCUGAAAGUGUCCGGUUCUGGGCUAGGGCAGUCGCCUGCAGGGCUAGGAUAGCCAUCUAUACCGCUUUUCAUUACUUCCCAUGAAAAUGACCAUGAAGACUUUGGUUCCCACUUGACACUCCUUCCUUCGGCCUCUUUACCCUUACUCUUCCUAACCUACUGUUCCCAGGAAACCCUACAGUGUGGCACGCUGCCUCCUCUUGGUAACUGUAACAAAACAUCUUUUCCUUCCUUUGCUGUCUCCUCCCUUCCUCUCCACUUCCUUCUUUUUCUUUUUUCCUUCCAUUUUUUUCUGUCCUAAUAGGAUCUCACUAUAUAGCCUAGGCUGGCCUGGAACUUGGGAGCUUCCUGCCCUAAGCCGUAGAGUGCUGAAGUUACAGACACAGCCACCAUGUCUGGCACAGCCCAUCCUUUCAAAGGCAGUUUAAUUUCUGCUCUAUUGACCUCCCCAUACCUGCAUGAGAGAAAAAAUUCCAUGAACACUGUAAAAGAAUUUCUUACCAAGUGCCUGAUUCUUCUAAAUCUUAUCAGUCAUCCCUCCACUUGUGUGUAAAUCAAGGAUUUAAAUCCCAAAUAUUCUCUGAAAAAAAUCACUGAAAGAACACUUUUAUCACAAUAGGAUGAAAUAGAUAGGUGCUGUGGUAGAGAAGCAGCUGAAUGCUUGUUCCUGCUGUGUUUGCUGGCAUACUGUUGUCCCUUCUUUGUGCCACCAUACCCCAAAGCAGAUGGCAUGUGGAAGGAGCCCAGCACACACUUCACAGGGCACCAAGGGUAGCUUGGGGCAGUUGCGCUUUCUGUCCAACCAAAGCCUCAUGCCAUCAUUCAACACCCUCUGCACAAGGUUCUGACACUUUGUGGGGACCAGGCUCCCUCGUCAGAAAGCCUUAGAAAGGCAAAGGCAGAGAGAUUGAACAAGGGCUCAGAAGCUCACCCUUUGAGAGCUUGCCUUGCAACUCAGUGCCCCUGGGUAUGCUGGGAAAACAGACUGCCUCACACAAUGGCUCGGAAAGCAUAGCAGCCAGUGGAACAGAGUGAGCUGUGGGUAGCUAUCGCUCUCUCUCUCCAUCUAUUCAUUUGUGCUCACUGUCCUGUGAAAACCCGCUCUCUGUGAAAUUGGUGGAGUCAUGAUUUUGGGGAUGGACCAUCUGCCUGGUUCCAAAUGGAAUUCAUGAACUUGGAGAAAUUUGCAUGAACUGUUCAUUGCAGCAAGAGGAAUUCAUUCAUUCCACAGCUCCGAGGUUUUAUACUUUUUCUGGACCACAGCCUGCAUGAAGGGUGUCAGACCUUUCCAUUAGUGGUGCGGCUCCUUUCAUUUUAUUUUGUUUUCUUCUUUCCAAAUCCAUUGCCUUCGACCUUAAUAUAAUCAGCAGCAAAUCCAUUGUGCCUUGGUCUUCCUGAAGCUCUCCGUCCUAUUUCAAAUCAAAAACCUUCUUCCUCUGAGGGCCGUGUUGUAGUACAUUUGUAUUUUACAUUGGUAGACAUGAAAAUAAAUCAAAAUGGCAUGCUAUUCUAUCUAUUUGCAAAGAAAGAAAACCUAAUUAGGUAAACAGGGGAAUGGGAAUGCUGAUUAAUUUAAUUAUUUGUUUAGCCGCGGGCCAAACACAAAGCUUUUUGUGGUUUUGAAUCCUGGAAACAAAAGUAUCUUUGCACUGUACUGGCUCACAGUUUCCUUAGCAGAGAGAACAUGUGGUCAGUUGUGAUAAUUCAGUUGCUUAGGGUGCCUCAAAAUUUGUUCAUAUGAAUAUCAAGUCUAUUGACAUGAACGAUUCGAUUAAAUUUUUAUGCGUUUUCAACACACGUUAUGGAAAAACUUCUUCUUAAAAGAAAUCAGUUUUUAGUGAUUUGCAACUUGGCAAGGCCUGUAAUCCAAGCUACGUGGGGGCUAAGGAGGACGAUAUCAGAUUGAAAACCUGCCUGCCUAAGCAAUUUACAGAACAAUAUCCUGUCUCUAAAAUAGCAACCACGGAAAGGGAUGGGGGCAAUAGUGCCAGAGUAGGUACCAGCAUGCACAAGGACCUAGGCUCAAGCUACAGUAACAGACUUAUAUUGUAUACUUCAUAACAGGAAAAAGGGGUUAUCUCAAAUGAAUACCAUGUGGCAGAAUUUGCAGGUAGAGAGAUUUUUUUUUUUCCCAGUGAGUUAAUGGGUUGAUGUUUAUUUUCAGGUCUAUUUUUUUGAGAAAAGUUUUUCAGUUUUUCUUAACCAGGGUAUGCAAUAACACAGGAAAGAAAACAUAUCUUCAAAAUCCAUUCCUCUGGGAUCCCCUCUGAGAGCUCAUUUAUAUGUCUUUAAAACCACGAGUGAGCACCCAGAGAGACAAGCGCCUACAGCCUGAGGUGUUGGUGCACUCCUGUGAUCCCAGCACGUGGGAGGCUGAGGCAGGAGAACAGAGAGUUGAAGGGCAGCCUGGGCUAUGUAGCAAGAUUCCCAUCUCUAAAACUAAAACAAAACCAAGAAACAAAUGUCGCUGUUGGUCUGUCUGAGUGUGGGAGAGCCACAGGCCUGUCUUCACCAGCGAGGAGCCAGGAUGUUACAAAGGGCUCCUCUAUUUUGUGUUUAGUUUCUUGAUUUCUUAGGUGGGACUUGGAGGUCCCCAACACUACCAGCUUCAGGAUGAUGUGACUGUAUGACUCCAGAUGGUUAUGGUGUGUAUGUGAAUGCUGGUAAUAAACCAUUUCUGUUUGCCUGGAAUUGAGGCAGCUCCUCGGGUCUUGGGAAUUUUAGCUAACCCCGAGGAAAUUCAAGGCGAACUGGGAGCAGUUGGUUUGGAGUGGUCAUGCAGUUUUGGGGUGAGAGACAUUCUGAACCAUACAAUGUCCUAUGGGUCUCAAGAUGUUGGUGUAACGAGAGUAAAGAGACUGCAGACCAGUAAAGCAUUUUGCACACAAUCCAGCACACCAAUGCAAAGUAAUGUGAGCUAAUUGCUACUGUUUUCCUCUUGAGCUUCCUCGGCUCUCUUUGUAUUGGUGGCAAUUUUGUGUGGAUGGAAACUCUUAAAUGAUGUACUCAGUAAACUGGUUCUUUAUGGAAUCCAGAAUGUUCAGUAAGUCUGCUGGCCUGAAGGACUGGGGCAAACACCCACCAUGACUCAUUGACCUCAGUUUACCUCUGCUGGAAAUAAGCAUAAAAUCAGAAAGCCUUUUUCACUCAGAGAUGACCAUAAUUUGUUUACACACCACAUAGAUGUCAGUCACUUGCCCGCAAUAGCUAAUCUAAGCAAAAGUACUACUACAUAGGCCACAUUAUAAAAGUGGAAGAGGAAACCAAGACUAAGAAUUUCUUUUGAAUGCCUAGGUUACCAUGGUUUCUGUUGGAUAGUGAAAGGGGAGGUGGGGGUUGUUAGCCAUUUACAAGGGAGAAAUAGGAUUCCUCUAUGUUUAUAAAGUCCCCUUGGUGUCUGGAAGGACAAUAGGAGCUAUGGAGGCUAACCGUCUGGGAUGCAAAUGCAUCUGACUUUUCCUUACACUAAUGACCUUAUCUAUGAAAAGGGGAAAGUAAUUUGGUCCCUGUGAAAAGAUUUGCUGAGAUGAUUGAAAAGGAAAAUCAAAGACUUGGCAAACCAAUCUCAGUUGGGUGUUCGGGAAGUCACAUUACAUAAGUGUACAAGCCUGCUCAGGGCCCCUCCCUGUCCAUUCUGCCAGGAGGAAGUACGCCUUGGUUAGCCCUGGACCCGAUGCAACCUAUAGCUAAGAUCCAUUCACUUGUCUUCCUAGGGUAAUCAUAAUAGAGUAAUCAUA